UCAGUCGACUCCUACGGGGAGGCAGCAGUGGGGAAUAUUGCACAAUGGGGGAAACCCUGAUGCAGCCAUGCCGCGUGUGUGAAGAAGGCCUUCGGGUUGUAAAGCACUUUCAGUAGGGAGGAAGGUAGUGCAGUUAACACCUGCAUUAUUUGACGUUACCUACAGAAGAAGCACCGGCUAACUCCGUGCCAGCAGCCGCGGUAAUACGGAGGGUGCGAGCGUUAAUCGGAAUUACUGGGCGUAAAGCGCAUGCAGGCGGCCUGUUAAGUCAGAUGUGAAAGCCCGGGGCUUAACCUCGGAAUUGCAUUUGAAACUGGCAGGCUAGAGUCUUGUAGAGGGGGGUAGGAAUUUCAGGUGUAGCGGUGAAAUGCGUAGAGAUCUGAAGGAAUACCAGUGGCGAAGGCGGCCCCCUCGGACAAAGACUGACGCUCAGAUGCGAAAGCGUGGGGAGCAAACAGGAUUAGAUACCCUGGUAG
RNAcentral lists this ribosomal RNA (476 nucleotides) under uncultured bacterium. Its description in RNAcentral is "bacterial SSU rRNA". It matches the Rfam family "Bacterial small subunit ribosomal RNA", at positions 328 to 793 of the family's 1533-position model. The record is from RNAcentral.